GCCCGCCUAGCUCAAUCGGAUAGAGCGUCAGACUUUUACGUUUGUAGGCGGUAGCACGUUACAUCACGUGAUCUGAAGGCUGCGGGUUCGACCCCCGCGGUGGGCU
Irpex rosettiformis is the source of this 106-nucleotide non-coding RNA. NCBI's taxonomy places the organism in Eukaryota, Fungi, Basidiomycota, Agaricomycetes, Polyporales, Irpicaceae. The record is from the annotation of a GenBank genome assembly.